ACCAUGGAGAGUUUGAUCCUGGCUCAGGAUGAACGCUGGCGGUAUGCUUAACACAUGCAAGUCGAACGAAAGUUUUUAACUUUAGUGGCGAACGGGUGAGUAAUACGUGAGAAUCUGCCCUUAGGAAAAGAAUAACUUCUGGAAACGGUUGCUAAAUCUUUAUAUGUCGAGAGAUGAAAUAGCUUAGGCUGCCUAAGGAUGAGCUCACGCCUGAUUAGCUUGUUGGUGAGGUAAUGGCUCACCAAGGCCACGAUCAGUAGCUGGUUUGAGAGAAC
RNAcentral lists this non-coding RNA (275 nucleotides) under Chrysochromulina tobinii. RNAcentral's name for it is "Chrysochromulina sp. CCMP291 Bacterial small subunit ribosomal RNA". It matches the Rfam family "Bacterial small subunit ribosomal RNA", at positions 1 to 301 of the family's 1533-position model. Lineage: Eukaryota; Haptophyta; Prymnesiales; Chrysochromulinaceae. The record is from Rfam by way of RNAcentral.